RNAcentral lists this small RNA (498 nucleotides) under Pongo abelii (Sumatran orangutan). RNAcentral's name for it is "processed transcript". The record is from RNAcentral. Lineage: Eukaryota; Metazoa; Chordata; Mammalia; Primates; Hominidae.
GGUCAGCCUGCUCAACUGCUCCAACGCCACGGUAGGGGCGGGGGCGGGGGCAGGGGGCUCCGGGACCCUCAGUCCCUCGGACCAGCCGGGUUUUGUUUUCCUGUGGCCACAGCCCGAGGUGCCAGGUGUGAGGCAUUCCUUGGACAGUCAAGGGUCUCCUCCUGCAGUUCUUCACCGUUUUAUUAAUAUCCACAAGUCAUCAUGGAGCACACAGAAAUCUCACCCUGACACCAAGAGUUGUCAUGGUCUCUGCCUGGGUCACCACAGUGAGCCCUGUGGCUCAGCUUCGCACCUGUGGCUGACAUCAUUGCUGAGGACUUCGUCCUGUCCAUGGAGCAGGUCAACUGGCUGUCAUUGGUCUACCUCGUGGUAUCCACCCCAUUUGGCGUGGUGGCUAUCUGGAUCCUGGACUCCGUCGGGCUCCGUGCGGUGCCAAGCUGGCUGCCUUGUGGUUCCCAGAGCACCAGCGAACCACGGCCAACAUGCUCGCCACCAUGU